RNAcentral lists this ribosomal RNA (504 nucleotides) under Nannophya pygmaea. RNAcentral's name for it is "partial 16S rRNA". It matches the Rfam family "Bacterial large subunit ribosomal RNA", at positions 1819 to 2597 of the family's 2925-position model. Lineage: Eukaryota; Metazoa; Arthropoda; Insecta; Odonata; Libellulidae. The record is from RNAcentral.
GUCCUCUUGAAUUUAAUUUGAGGUCUGACCUGCCCAGUGAUUAAUUUAACGGCCGCGGUAUAUUGACCGUGCAAAGGUAGCAUAAUCAUUAGUCUUUUAAUAGAGGGCUGGAAUGAAAGGUUUAACGAGGAACUGGCUGUCUCAUUUUAUUUGUAUUAAAAUUUAAUUUUUUAGUCAAAAAGCUAAAAUUUAAUUGGAAGACGAGAAGACCCUAUAGAUCUUUAUAUAAUUAUAUUAAUUUUAUAAUAUAUUAAUAUAUUUUAUUAUAAUUGUAUUUUGUUGGGGUGACAAAAAUAUAUAAUUAACUUUUUUAUAAUUUAACCAUUGAUUUAUGAAUAACAGAUCCAUUUUUAGUGAUUAUUAGAUUAAGUUACCUUAGGGAUAACAGCGUAAUCCUCUUCCAGAGUUCAUAUUUACAGGGGGGCUUGCGACCUCGAUGUUGGAUUAAGAUAAUAAUUAGGUGUAGCCGCUUAAUGUAUAGGUCUGUUCGACCUUUAAAUUCUU